This 253-nucleotide ribosomal RNA is filed under the name uncultured bacterium. RNAcentral describes it as "partial 16S ribosomal RNA". It matches the Rfam family "Bacterial small subunit ribosomal RNA", at positions 524 to 776 of the family's 1533-position model. The record is from RNAcentral.
UACGGAGGAUCCAAGCGUUAUCCGGAAUCAUUGGGUUUAAAGGGUCCGUAGGCGGUUUAAUAAGUCAGUGGUGAAAGCCCAUCGCUCAACGGUGGAACGGCCAUUGAUACUGUUAAACUUGAAUUAUUAGGAAGUAACUAGAAUAUGUAGUGUAGCGGUGAAAUGCUUAGAGAUUACAUGGAAUACCAAUUGCGAAGGCAGGUUACUACUAAUGGAUUGACGCUGAUGGACGAAGGUCAGGGGAGCAAACGGG